Molecule: ribosomal RNA, 486 nt
Filed under: uncultured bacterium
Lineage: Bacteria
Description: partial 16S ribosomal RNA
Rfam family: Bacterial small subunit ribosomal RNA
Source: RNAcentral
GUUGAACGCUGGCGGCGUGCCUAACACAUGCAAGUCGAACGGAAAGGCGGAGCUCUUUCUGGUUGCGCGUGUGGCGCGGGUGAGUGAUACACCGGAGUGUACCCUGCUGUGCGGGCUGAGAAGUCGAAGGAACAGCUGAUACCACAUCCGAUCAGAGCGUGAAACUCGGGGUUCGGUAGCGACAUCCUGCUGUUGGAGCGGUCGUUGAUUGAUUAGCUAGUUGGUGGGGUAUAGGUCCAUCAAGGGGACGAUAAGUCGCUGGUCUGAGAGGACGAUCGGCCACACUGGAACUGAGACACGGCCCAGACUCCUACGGGAGGCAGCAGUGGGGAAUGUUGGAGAAUGGGGGCAAGCCUGACCCAGCAAUGCCGCGUGUGUGAAGAAGGCCUUCGGGUCGUAAAGCACUUUUGUCAGGAAAGAAAACGCGCUGAUUAAAACGUGGCGUGGAUGACGGUACCGGAUGAAGAAGCACCGGCUAACUACGUG